AACGAACGCUGGCGGCAUGCCUAACACAUGCAAGUCGAACGAGACCUUCGGGUCUAGUGGCGCACGGGUGCGUAACGCGUGGGAACCUGCCCUUAGGUUCGGAAUAAGUCCCCGAAAGGGGUGCUAAUACCGGAUAAUGUCUUCGGACCAAAGAUUUAUCGCCUUUGGAUGGGCCCGCGUUGGAUUAGCUAGUUGGUAGGGUAAAAGCCUACCAAGGCGACGAUCCAUAGCUGGUCUGAGAGGAUGAUCAGCCACACUGGGACUGAGACACGGCCCAGACUCCUACGGGAGGCAGCAGUGGGGAAUAUUGGACAAUGGGCGAAAGCCUGAUCCAGCAAUGCCGCGUGAGUGAUGAAGGCCUUAGGGUUGUAAAGCUCUUUUACCCGGGAUGAUAAUGACAGUACCGGGAGAAUAAGCUCCGGCUAACUCCGUG
RNAcentral lists this ribosomal RNA (433 nucleotides) under uncultured bacterium. Its description in RNAcentral is "partial 16S ribosomal RNA". It matches the Rfam family "Bacterial small subunit ribosomal RNA", at positions 29 to 507 of the family's 1533-position model. The record is from RNAcentral.